UGAAACUCUUGUAGAUUAGAUGUGUA
This 26-nucleotide non-coding RNA is filed under the name Rattus norvegicus (Norway rat). Lineage: Eukaryota; Metazoa; Chordata; Mammalia; Rodentia; Muridae. The record is from RNAcentral.